This 890-nucleotide long non-coding RNA is filed under the name Mus musculus (house mouse). RNAcentral's name for it is "long non-coding RNA chr17:35875722-35876612". The record is from RNAcentral. Lineage: Eukaryota; Metazoa; Chordata; Mammalia; Rodentia; Muridae.
GCUCACAACCAUCUGUAAUGACAUCUGACGCCCUCUACUGGUGUGUCUGAAGACAGCUACAAUGUACUUACAUAUAAAUAAUAAAUAAAUAUUUAAAAAAAAGGAGCCGGGCAUGUGGCGUGUGGUGGCGCAUGCCUUUAUAAAAAAAAAAAAAAAAAGAUUUUGUUUAUUUCAUGUCUAUGAGCACACUGUAGCUGUCUUCAGACACACCAGAAAAGCCCAUAGGAUCCCAUCACAGAUGAUCGUGACCCGCCAUGAGGUUGCUGGGGGUUGAGCUCAGGACCUCUGGAAGAGCAGACAAUGCUCUAACCCACUGAGCCUCUUCAGUGCCCCUUUCUUUUUAAAUUCGCCAUUAUUUUCAUUUUAUGAGUAAUUUGCCUUCAUGAAUGUCUGUGUACUGCCUGUGUUCCUGGUGUCCCUGGAGGCUUUGAAGAAGGCGUCAGAUCCCCUGAGACGUGAGUCCAGAUGGUUGUGAGUUGCCCUCUGGAUGCUGGGAAUCAAACUUGGCCCUCUAGAACACCAGUGCUCUUAACCGCUGAGCCGUCUCUCCAGAACCUUCCCUAAUUACGUUUUGUCUGCUUCCAGCUUUCUGCCAUGCCACCACCAGAAUAUAUUUGCUGGUUUAUUUAUUUAUUGCUGAAAGUAUGUCUUAAUGUGUGGCAUUGGAUAGCUGUCUUCAGACACACCAGAAAAGCCCAACUUACUGUGUAAGUAACUUACUGUGUAGAACAGGAUGGCUUGAGACUCACAGAGAGAGCUUUCUGCCUAUGUUUUCUAAGUGCAGGAAUUAAAAAUUUACACCACCACAUCUGGCUUUUUUUUUUUAAGGUCUUUUAAAAAACAGGACAGUGUCUGAAGAGAUGGUUCAGCAGUUAAGAGCACUUGUUCUU